RNAcentral lists this small RNA (1103 nucleotides) under Cryptococcus neoformans H99. Its description in RNAcentral is "Cryptococcus neoformans var. grubii H99 hypothetical RNA". Lineage: Eukaryota; Fungi; Basidiomycota; Tremellomycetes; Tremellales; Cryptococcaceae. The record is from RNAcentral.
GCAACAAGUCUGCAGGGCUCCUGCCUUCCUGGUUCUCUCCCCUUCAGCUCACCAUUUCUGCCACCUCUAUAGCUCUAUAUAUAUUCCUCCCUUGUAUACUCUCCUCCCGAUGCUGCUUCGGUGAAGAAAGUUUGCAACAUGAGAUGGGAUGGGGUCCGACCAGUCGUGGUCUGGUCAACCCAAUACGAUGAUCGGGAAUUCAACCGAAGCGUCAGCAUGGAUUGACAAUUACCUUCAUGUUGGCCACAAUACCUGCUUCUUAUAUAGACUCGCCGAAGAGACAAUAACCAUCUCAUUAUAUUGACCCCGUUACCUCACACAAUGAAGCCCAUGCUUACACCCGCUGCUUUGCAUGUUACCACAGAAGGGCCCCGCGACGAAGACCAUCCGCCUUUCCGUAUAUGAUGGUUAGCCCGUCGCAUCAAAGAUGAGGAUGCAUGAAGUGACGAUUCCGAGUGCCGAGCCCCUACCCAGUCAAAUGAUCUGUACAACAUCUUCUCCUCGAAGGGAUUUAUUUGAACGGAGUGCACAUUGACGGAUAUGGCUGUAUAAUCCGGCGAUACGGUCCUGUUGAUUACCUGGGAUCACAAGGCUGUACUGACCAUCGAGGAUGACGAGUCAAGAAUGUGAAGUUUGCAAUCAAUAUAACAGUGAUAUAUUGCAAGGCAAAGUACGGAGACUCUGGGUUCCAGGGAGAAAUCAUCGUGUUUUUACUUGCGUGAUGAUUAUUACCAUCAUUAUCCUCACCCAGUGCAACCUGGAAAGCCAAUAGUCGAGGGGAUGACGCUAAAUUACCAACGGUGUAACAAUGGCUGCACUAUAAGCAGACAACUGGGAUCAAGGCGAAGAAGGAUAGCGCCGGCAAUGAUAGAGUCCUUGGACUCCAAGAUGGAAUCAUACAGUACCAUGCGUACAUGCCGAUCAUCUUAGUAAAUGUCAGGGUCUUUGUAAGCCUCGACGGGCCGCGGUUCGGAGAAUUGCUGCCGCCGGCAAUCACAGGCUCUUCAUGGCAACUUAUGGUUAUACAUGCGAAAACUAUGGAAUCUCGUAGUGACAUGUCACGACAGCACAGACUAUCUUUAGAUGAACCAAUGGUCAUAUUG